This is a regulatory RNA element of Leucobacter komagatae, 108 nucleotides long. It matches the Rfam family "TPP riboswitch aptamer (THI element)". Rfam says of the family: Vitamin B(1) in its active form thiamin pyrophosphate (TPP) is an essential coenzyme that is synthesised by coupling of pyrimidine and thiazole moieties in bacteria. The previously detected thiamin-regulatory element, thi box was extended, resulting in a new, highly conserved RNA secondary structure, the THI element, which is widely distributed in eubacteria and also occurs in some archaea. Analysis of operon structures identified a large number of new candidate thiamin-regulated genes, mostly transporters, in various prokaryotic organisms. The record is from Rfam. Lineage: Bacteria; Bacillati; Actinomycetota; Actinomycetes; Micrococcales; Microbacteriaceae.
CACAUCCGCUGGGGGGGCCCGAAGGGGCUGAGAUCCACUACUUGCUGUGGACCACCCCAGGAACCUGAUCUCGUUAACACGAGCGGAGGGAAGCGGUCAAUAUGUUGA